CCUACGGGGGGCUGCAGUGGGGAAUAUUGCACAAUGGGCGCAAGCCUGAUGCAGCAACGCCGCGUGAAUGAUGAAGGCCUUCGGGUCGUAAAGUUCUGUCCUAAGGGAAGAAUACAGUGACGGUACCUUAGGAGGAAGCCCCGGCUAACUACGUGCCAGCAGCCGCGGUAAUACGUAGGGGGCAAGCGUUAUCCGGAAUCACUGGGCGUAAAGGGAGCGUAGGCGGUUUGACAAGCCAGAGGUGAAAGGCAAUAGCUUAACUAUUGUAAGCCUUU
Molecule: ribosomal RNA, 275 nt
Filed under: uncultured bacterium
Lineage: Bacteria
Description: partial 16S ribosomal RNA
Rfam family: Bacterial small subunit ribosomal RNA
Source: RNAcentral